AGACGUCUACAUUAGAUACCCGGGUAGUCCUAGCCGUAAACGAUACUCGCUAGGUGUCGGCCACGGUGCGACCGUUGUCGGUGCCGUAGGGAAGCCGUGAAGCGAGCCACCUGGGAAGUACGGCCGCAAGGCUGAAACUUAAAGGAAUUGCGGGGGAGCACCACAACGGGUGGAGCCUGCGGUUUAAUCGGACUCAACGCCGGGAAUCUCACCGGAUAAGACAGCUGAAUGAUAGUCGGGAUGAAGACUCUACUUGACUAGCUG
Molecule: ribosomal RNA, 264 nt
Filed under: uncultured archaeon
Lineage: Archaea
Description: partial 16S ribosomal RNA
Rfam family: Archaeal small subunit ribosomal RNA
Source: RNAcentral